RNAcentral lists this ribosomal RNA (442 nucleotides) under uncultured bacterium. RNAcentral describes it as "partial 16S ribosomal RNA". It matches the Rfam family "Bacterial small subunit ribosomal RNA", at positions 338 to 795 of the family's 1533-position model. The record is from RNAcentral.
CCUACGGGAGGCAGCAGUGGGGAAUAUUGGGCAAUGGGCGAAAGCCUGACCCAGCAACGCCGCGUGAAGGAAGAAGGCUUUCGGGUUGUAAACUUCUUUUGACAGGGAAGAGCAGAAGACGGUACCUGUCGAAUAAGCCACGGCUAACUACGUGCCCGCAGCCGCGGUAAUACGUAGGUGGCAAGCGUUGUCCGGAGUUACUGGGUGUAAAGGGCGUGUAGCCGGGCUGACAAGUCAGAUGUGAAAUCCGGGGGCUCAACCCCCGAACGGCAUUGGAAACGGUUGGUCUUGAGUGUCGGAGAGGCAGGCGGAAUGCCUGGUGUAGCGGUGAAAGGCGUAGAUAUUAGGAGGAACACCGGUGGCGAAGGCGGCCUGCUGGACGACAACUGACGGUGAGGCGCGAAAGCGUGGGGAGCAAACAGGAUUAGAUACCCCAGUAGUC